CGUAGCCAGGGUUCACCUCAUAAAUCACCUGGACAGAUUGAACUUGGGGCAGAAGAAGACACAAAAGGAGAGGAGCUGUGAUUCAGACUCCAUGAACUCUGGUGGCUGUGUCCUGCUACAGGGAUGUGCGUGGCAUGAGCCAAACAGUGAGGGCCACCUGUCACCAAAAGCAUCUUCACGGUGGAGGGAGCACCACGAGGUGACUUUGAACAAGGUAUGUCACUUCCUGACGCCAACGCCGGCUCCUCUGCAGCUGCGUGGAAGGGCCACUUCAGAAACCAGCAACUCUUCAGCUUCCCAGGCCUUUUAGAGCUCCCUGAUGGCCAGGAGGUUUUCCUAGAUCCCCCAGCAGAAAGUCAGGAAGAAGAUGCGACUGUGGCCACCCCAGCCCGUGGCUACUGAUGCUCCCCCCUCGCUAGCCUCCCCCCCCCCGCCCCGAUGCCACCAGCCCGAAGCCGCCGGUCAGG
Calidris pugnax (ruff) is the source of this 467-nucleotide long non-coding RNA. RefSeq lists it as uncharacterized. NCBI's taxonomy places the organism in Eukaryota, Metazoa, Chordata, Aves, Charadriiformes, Scolopacidae. The transcript is spliced from 3 exons. The record is from RefSeq and is a predicted model, not a curated record.